AUGCAUGCAAUUGAGGGUUUGAUCAAACUAAUCAAUAUGUGGGAAAUCCAGCCUCUCGUGCUCCUCAGCUUCACACUGCAAAUUUUCUUGUUCUUUACUGGCAGCCUUAGACAGCAUAGUGCCAGCAUGUUCCUAAGGCUCUCCAUUUGGGCAGCUUAUCUGGGAGCGGACUUUGUAGCAGUUUAUACCCUCGGCCUUGUCUCGCGACAUGAGGAUAUCACCAUUGAAGGGCACAUACCAGGGAAAACACAAUCACUAGCUUUCUUUUGGGCACCGUUUCUCCUCAUCCAUCUUGGCGGGCAGGACACUAUUACUGCCUUUGCCAUGGAGGACAAUAACUUGUGGUUGAGGCAUUUGCUGAAUCUAGUGGUUCAAGCUGUCCUAGCUAUAUAUGUUUUCUGGAAGUCUAUUGGAAGACACAGAGUGGAGCUUCUAGUGUCUGGUGUAUUUUUGUUUGUUGUUGGAGUUAUCAAGUAUGGGGAAAGAAUAUGGUCUCUCAAGUGUGGCUGCUUUAAAAGCCUUGAGAGCGGAAGUGGACAUCGUUACAAGAAGUUGCCAGACCUUGAGUGCGAAGAGGACACAGGCCAGGAAUCUAACAGCAAAGUGAGCACUGAUGGUGGCUAUGAUAGCAUUGUUUAUAUAGCUCUGUCUUCAAUGCCACAUGUCCAUGAUAUCUUUUCGGGACGUGGCUACUUUUCUAUCGCUGAUUUCCCCGCAAGGUCGAUGCUAGAUGACAACAAAGAGGCGAUCAAGAUGGUCAGUAUUAUUCUUAGCGUGAUGUUUUCUGAUUUCUACACAAAGGCUCUUGUGGUGAGAAGAAGAAGUGCCAUCAUACUUAGAUGCAUCUCUCAGAUGUCCGCUGUUGUUGCUUUUGCUGUGUUCCAUGAAAAUGACAAACAGAGGUACAGAAAAAUUGACAUUGCAAUCACUUACUCACUUUUUGUUGGAUGCUUUCUCCUAGAACUAUGUGCAAUGUUUAUUUCCAUGAUGUCACCCUGGACAUGGGCAUGGCUGAAGGUUCGAAAGUGGGAUAGGCUUGCCAGGUUGUCAUGGUUUAUUUUUUCUAGUAAUAUUGGAUGGCCGGAAGAGAAGCAAUGUUUCCAAAAGUCAAUGGGACAGUACAUCUUUUCAAGCUGGGUGACUGGCAGUGGCCAAGCGAGAACAUUCAAUCAACGAGUGAUGACCAUGGUCAAAUGGCUUGCAGAUUUGGUCCGUGUUGAAAGGAAGAAUAUAUUCUGGAUUAGCAAGCUGUUAGACACUGAGUAUGUGGAUGUGGAUGAGAUGACUAUGGACUGUGUUGCAAAAGAGAUUAGUCAAUUGAGGCAUGUAGGCGGCCCCAUUAAGAGUGGCCGAGACUGGCCGAAUUUGUUGGGAGAACGUGCAGAUUUUGGUGCUGCUAUUGUGUUAUUUCAUGUACUGACUGACAAACAUUUGAGUAGAUACCCCCCGUCUCAUCCUCCGGACAUGGAGGAAUUUGGUAUGAUGGAGGUAUGCCGGAAACUGUCCAACUACAUGAUGUACCUUUUGGCUACCCAUCCUUCCUUGCUGCCGCUCAAUGUUAGCGCGGAAGCUAUGCUGGACCAUCUUCAGGAUCCACAAAUACUACAUGAGGACCUACUCCAAGAUCUUGAGCCAAGCAAGGAAGCAGUAGAGGAGUUAGUUCAGGUGUGGGCGAGGCUCCUUAUUUACGCUGCAGGCAAGUCAAGGGGGGAGAUGCACACGGCACUACUGAGCAGUGGAGGGGAGUUCAUCACCUUCGUCUGGCUGCUCAUGGCCCUCUACGACCUCGGGGAUUUCCAGUGGAAGAGGAUUCGGCUCACCAAUGCUGCUUUCAUUGAUCAUAGGGUGGAGGAGUUAUUCGCCUUCCCUGUUCCUGCAGCAAUUCCACCGGAAGAAGCUAGCAGCAGCAAGGCGCAUGGGUGA
Molecule: ribosomal RNA, 1923 nt
Filed under: Triticum aestivum (bread wheat)
Lineage: Eukaryota; Viridiplantae; Streptophyta; Magnoliopsida; Poales; Poaceae
Description: partial small subunit ribosomal RNA
Source: RNAcentral